RNAcentral lists this ribosomal RNA (467 nucleotides) under uncultured bacterium. Its description in RNAcentral is "partial 16S ribosomal RNA". It matches the Rfam family "Bacterial small subunit ribosomal RNA", at positions 28 to 506 of the family's 1533-position model. The record is from RNAcentral.
GACGAACGCUGGCGGCGUGCUUAACACAUGCAAGUCGAACGGAAAGGCCCUGCUUUUGUGGGGUGCUCGAGUGGCGAACGGGUGAGUAACACGUGAGUAACCUGCCCUUGACUUUGGGAUAACUUCAGGAAACUGGGGCUAAUACCGGAUAGGAGCUCCUGCUGCAUGGUGGGGGUUGGAAAGUUUCGGCGGUUGGGGAUGGACUCGCGGCUUAUCAGCUUGUUGGUGGGGUAGUGGCUUACCAAGGCUUUGACGGGUAGCCGGCCUGAGAGGGUGACCGGCCACAUUGGGACUGAGAUACGGCCCAGACUCCUACGGGAGGCAGCAGUGGGGAAUAUUGCACAAUGGGCGGAAGCCUGAUGCAGCAACGCCGCGUGCGGGAUGACGACCUUCGGGUUGUAAACCGCUUUCGCCUGUGACGAAGCGUGAGUGACGGUAAUGGGUAAAGAAGCACCGGCUAACUACGU